GGAGACGUGUAGGUUAGAAAGGUUUUAAUUUUGGAAUUGGUUUUAUAAAUGACCGUUGGAAUUGGGAAGCCAGAAGGUUUGGGUCGGUGUAUUGGCGCAUAAAAUAUUACCUUCUCCACUCUUCCUUCUUCACUUCACUCAUCCCGCUUCGUUCUCCGAACACCGUCGGAGACGACUCAUCGCGACCUCUGUAAUUCAGCUCACCGGAGACACAAGCACCCCCACCCUUCGUAAGACACUCACAACCAUGUCGGAUAACUGGAGAAGUCAAGGCAAGAAACUAAAUUGCUACAGAAGUUCAAUUUGCUAAUGUUGUAUGCAUUGGAUGAUGGACAACCAAAUGUUGAGGAAACAAUGAGGAUUCAGACUUGUACUUAGAGCCAUCCAUCACCAAUAUAAAUAAAAUUAGAAACUAUUCCCAUCUACCAUGAAGCCUUUGAUCAUCUAUUACAUGCCUUUUGGUUGUUUCUUUAAAUGACACGGAUCCUAUCAACAGGUUUGUGGAUCUUUUUAACAUGAAUCAGUUACCCCUGCUUCUGAUCAUGAACUAAAUCCAUGGGAAUUGAAUCAUGUUGGCUUUUUGCUCAGCAAAGAGGAUGUGGAUCAUCAGAAGACACAAAUGUAUUUUCAAGAUCCUCUUCAAAAGAACUUUGUCUUCAUGGGAGCUUCCAAGAUCUCUCUCUUGCGAAUGGAACUUAGAAGAUACUUGAUACAGUUACUACUUCAGGUGUACAGACAUCAGGGAAGGGAAAUGCCACAUGGUGUGGUCUUUGGUGGGUUAAAAUGUUAGAAACAAGUGGUCAAUAUAAAGAGGGUGUUGGUGUUUAAGGUAAUAAUUCAAUUCUGUUUUUGUGAAUAAAAAUAAAAAUAUGAGAAUUUUGUGAAAAAACUUAAAUUUUUUGAAGGAACCUCUUUAUUUAGCUGUGAUGCUUGAACAGGGAUCUUAUUGUUGUUACCUUUUUAGCCAAACCAAUGAUAUUAAGAAAGUAUGGAUUUCAUCUCAUUCUUUCUGAUGAUCUUGUUAUUGCAACUUUUGUUAAUAUUUUAAUAGAUAAUUUUUAUUUAAUAUUUACUGAUAAUAGCAAUGUAUUUAUAGCUUUUCAUCCAAAAACAACAAUCGUUAACUUGAAGAAACUCUGAUUUUGGGGAUUAUGUUUUCAAAAACAGUCAAGAAGGAAAAGCUGGAGAAAAAUCUAAAUGACCAUAUACAGUGCCAAGGUAAAUAACCAAACCCUACGUUUGUAUGUUGUAGUUGAAUGUUAUUUAGAUGCUAAGCUAUAAAAUCUUAUAUUAAAAUAUUAUACUUUCAUAAUCUAACCUAUGAUAUGAAGACAUUGUAAUUUUAUUAUUUUUCCUAUUAGGUCACUGUACUUUGAAAAACUAAACAUGUUUGGUUUUGGAUACCAUUUAUAGCAUUAUAAAUUCAAAGUUUUUAUUGUGAAGAUAGUUUACUAUCAAAAUCUAACCAAUUGCCUGCAAAAUAAUACCCCAAAUCGUAAACUUAUAGUUUCAAAAUCCACCCUUUUAAGACAAUGUAGUUUUAAUACAUUCUACUUUAGAAUCUAAACUUGUUUAACCAUGGUUACCAAUUAUAACAUUAUACUUUAUAUUUAUUUUAUUUUUCAUAUUAAGACACCAUAGCUAUUCAUUAACAAUCAUUUUUUUAGUUUUUAACAGGCUUUGAGUAAUUAUAGUUCUCGUGUGUUAGUGAGUAAUAAAUACACUGUCAAAUUAUUCAUUUCUCUUAUUGGAAGUUGCAUCUUUCCACAUAAUUGAAUCUCACUCAAUAAAAUGUUUAAGUGAAUGAAGCUUCAUUGAUUUAAAUUUAGUCAUGUAAUGUUUUCUGUGUUGAUUUUCAUAUUAAAAAUAUUAAUUCAUUUUGAAUAAUGGCAACAAGAGAGGCAGAGAUGAAUCAUCAGAUGAUGCAGCAAGUUUCUUUACCAAUGAUGAUGGAUAUCACCAAAUUGGUUACGAUAACAACAACCCUCAAAACAUAUGUUAAAUUUUGAAGGGAAAUUGUGGGAAAUAACAAAUAAGGGUGUUCUUAUCAUUGAAUCUCAAAUAAGGUUAAUUAUGCCUUCAUGUUAGGAAAUUACCAUCUUCUAUCCACUGAUUACUAGCUGACAAAACAUGGAAGUGAUAUGCAGGUAGCUACGAGUCUAUGACCAUGUUUGUAUAUUUCCAGAAAUACCCCUCAUUUUCCUAAAACAUGUGCUUAUUUAUUACUUCGGGAAAUGGUGUGGUUUGUGGUGGGUUGAAAUGUUAAAAACAAGUUGGUGAUGUAAAGAGUGGACAACUAGGGUAAUUCGAGAAAAACUUCAAUUUUUUAGUUGAAGUUCUCCACUACUUUUGUCACUCUGAAAUCCAAUCAAUACCGAUGAAAUGCUUAAGAGCUUGGUCAGGUUGAGAUGAUUAUGUCUGAUAAAAGCAGGACUUUAACUUGUAACCAAAUGGAGUUCAGGAAAUGCUAAAGCAGCUAUUGCUAUCUCUGUAUCAGAAAUUACACAGAUGGAUUCGUUGAACUUACCUAAUUUUCCCUUAUACAUUUUCAUAUCUUUUUAUCAUUCUAAUGUUCUGAUUUGUUAAAUGUGCAGACACCUGAGAUUCUUCAUUUGUUAAAGCAGAUCAAGGAGAAGCUGAAAGAAGUUUGAUCAAAUGGUCUAGCAUUCCCUCUCUUUACUUCUAUAGUCAGGUUGCUGGUUUAUGUCCAAGAGCUAGGGAAUCUUUUUUCAAAUUUGGUCCUUAUUUCAUGGUUUCUCAAUCGCUUUUUGUACCUGGGUCAUCACCUAGAUGUUAAACAACAUGUCCUUAUCUUCGUCUCUUUCUUUUCCAUUUUCAAGGAGCAUGAUGAAAUUUCAACAAAAUUUCUCUCUUUCCGAAUAUGUUGCAGGAGCAUAGCUGAACACUAAAUCCUUAAAAAUAGUGUCUUUUUGAAAAUAUGGUACUCUCAUUUCAUUGUUUGAUAAUACUAUGUUUGGUCUCUUGUUCUCAACUUUACCAGCCCGUAUGUUAAAUUUAUGAUAAUGACCAUUUUGCCAAUGUCUUCUUCAUCUCUUCCAUUUCCAUGUUCAGGUAUCAUAAAUUACCCCCAACAAAAUUCAUCACUUUUCUUAAAAAUUAUAUGUCAUACGUUUAAGGAGCAUAAUUAUAUCCUAAUAAUCCCAGAAAAGAUUCUUUAAAAGAAAAACAUUUUUGAAAUUUUGGUACUCAUUUCAUGGUUCCAUAACGUUUUCCUUAAUGAGGAUUCAGACUGGUUAUUGCUGAUGUUGUGAUCAUAGUCACUUGGUUCGCUAAACUAGCCAUGAACUGCGAACUAGAUCGUUUCGAACUGGAUCGCGGUACAAAAGCGUACCAAUCACCGGUGGUUAGUGGUUCGCGAUCUGGAUCGUGAUUGAAGGCGUACCCGAUUUUGUACCAAGAGUCGGUGGGUCGAUGUAUCAGUUAUUUCUUAUUCGCGAUUUAAAUAGUCUGGGAACACGAACUCGCCAUGGCACCUUAGAUGCAUGGCUCGAUGUACCAUUAAUUAAUGACUUCAAUUCUCACCUUUCACAUUAUAUUAAUAGUUUGACUUCAAUUUUCAAUUUUCAGAUUAACAUUAAUAGUUCACUUCAUACGAAAAGUCAUUAUAACUAAUUUCUUAUUUCAAAUUUUAGUUCUACACUCUUAGUCACUGCAUAUACCGACUUCAUCAUCCUCAUCAGAACAUCCCAAUUCCAUAUUACUUUCUCAAUAUCGCAGUGGGAAAACUUAAUUAGUUGAAGAGGUUGUUGAUAAUGGGAAUGGAAAGACAAUGAGGAAAGACUAAUUUUGAUUAGUUAUGUGUCUUAAUUAUUUUGAAUUUUUUGAUGGUAUUUGUCUAAUGGGUUAUGUAUUAAAGAAUUUUAUCGAAUAAUUAAUAUUUGAUUAUUAAUAUCAAUAUAUUUUUGUUGGAGCUUGGAGUCUUGGACUUAAUGAUUUUUUAUGUGGUACAUCGUACCACUUUAAUUGGUACAUCAUACCGUAUCGAACCGAAAUGAACCUACCCCCUUUCGUACCGGAUUUUGGGGACCUAGCGAACUACGAACCGCGAACCCGUUCCUGAACCGGAGCGAACCCCGUUCCAUGUGACUAUGGUUGUGAUGCUAAAAACCUUCUCAGAUAUGUUCCAAGCCCUAGGUGAAGAAAUCAACUCUGUGAGACUCACUAUCGAUGGAUUCAGCGAGUCUGAGUGAGAGUGUGUAUUUUCUCACCACUGUUGACGGUGGUGCAGGUGAGCGGAGUGUGGUGUACAAGCUGCAAGUUGCUGCCAUGUUCGACCUAGAAAAGGCAUUCUCUCAACCAUAAAAACAUUUGUUCUUUCUCCAUCACCAUUCAAAUUUCUCAACCGCCUCAAUCAUCUCAUCUAAUUGUCUGUGUCUAUUGACACCAACUCUAUUCCUCUCUCCUGCACAUCAGCAGUCAUUAAUGGUUUGUUGUUUGUUCCGCUUCUGCUCUAUCUUUUCUUCUUGUAUGAAUAAUGAUUUUCCUUCAAAUGGUAGAUAAAAGAAACUUGUACA
Molecule: non-coding RNA, 4535 nt
Organism: Lactuca sativa (garden lettuce)
Lineage: Eukaryota; Viridiplantae; Streptophyta; Magnoliopsida; Asterales; Asteraceae
Source: RefSeq, a predicted model, not a curated record